UGAACGCUGGCGGCGUGCCUAAUACAUGCAAGUCGAGCGACCAGACGAGGAGCUUGCUCCUCUGACGUUAGCGGCGGACGGGUGAGUAACACGUGGAUAACCUACCUAUAAGACUGGGAUAACUUCGAGAAACCGGAGCUAAUACCGGAUAAUAUAUUGAACCGCAUGGUUCAAUAGUGAAAGACGGUUUUGCUGUCACUUAUAGAUGGAUCCGCGCCGCAUUAGCUAGUUGGUAAGGUAACGGCUUACCAAGGCAACGAUGCGUAGCCGACCUGAGAGGGUGAUCGGCCACACUGGAACUGAGACACGGUCCAGACUCCUACGGGAGGCAGCAGUAGGGAAUCUUCCGCAAUGGGCGAAAGCCUGACGGAGCAACGCCGCGUGAGUGAUGAAGGUCUUCGGAUCGUAAAACUCUGUUAUUAGGGAAGAACAAAUGUGUAAGUAACUAUGCACGUCUUGACGGUACCUAAUCAGAAAGCCACGGCUAACUACGUG
Molecule: ribosomal RNA, 495 nt
Filed under: uncultured bacterium
Lineage: Bacteria
Description: partial 16S ribosomal RNA
Rfam family: Bacterial small subunit ribosomal RNA
Source: RNAcentral